RNAcentral lists this ribosomal RNA (456 nucleotides) under uncultured bacterium. Its description in RNAcentral is "bacterial SSU rRNA". It matches the Rfam family "Bacterial small subunit ribosomal RNA", at positions 340 to 786 of the family's 1533-position model. The record is from RNAcentral.
UACGGAAGGCAGCAGUGGGGAAUAUUGCACAAUGGGCGAAAGCCUGAUGCAGCUAUGCCGCGUGUAUGAAGAAGGCCUUAGGGUUGUAAAGUACUUUCAUCGGGGAGGAAAAAACAAAACUAAUAAUUUUAUUUCUUGACGUUACCUGAAAAAGAAGCACCGGCUAACUCCGUGCCAGCAGCCGCGGUAAUACGGAGGGUGCUAGCGUUAAUCAGAAUUACUGGGCGUAAAGAGCACGUAGGUGGUUUUUUUAAGUCAGAUGUGAAAUCCCUGGGCUUAACCUAGGAACUGCAUUUUGAAACUGAAAUACUAGAGUAUCGUAGAGGGAGGUAGAAUUCUAGGUGUAGCGGUGAAAUGCGUAGAUAUCUGGAGGAAUACCUGUGGCGAAAGCGGCCUCCUAAACGAAUACUGACACUGAGGUGCGAAAGCGUGGGGAGCAAACGAGGAUUAGAUACC